AAUUUAUUGAGGGCGACGCACCGGUGCAGGCGCAGCCUUUAUCGCCGCCAUGUUUGACUGUCCACAAGUAGCGGGGAAGGAAUGGGAAUGGUGGAGAAUCUCCCAGAGCAUUCUCAGGGACAAUGAAAGUUUUCAUCACCACUACUCCCUCCCACACCAGGAACUUGAUGGAGCCUUUGGGGAAAGACUUGGCUGGCACAGCUCACACAGGGACUACGGACCUUUUCAGAGGCUUAAUUAAGGGCCACGUUGGAGUCCAGGAGAGGCGCAGGAAUGGCUGCCACCGCCGCCAUCGCCGCCACCAACACGACCGCCACUGGAGUCAUCAUCGCCAGUCUGGUUCAGGAGGCAACAGCUCAUCCUUCCAUCUUUGUUCUCUUAGCUCAGCUCCACCACACGCCACCACCCUUGAUCUUGACCCACAUUCCCAUCAUGAGCACCUUGGCGCCAGCGUGCAGGAGGCCGCUCGCUCCUCGCCGCUCCUUUAGCGUGACGUGCAACACACAGGCUUUGUGGCGCCCUUGCAGCACGACCCUAGGAGCCCCGAUCUUUCCC
This is a long non-coding RNA of Scylla paramamosain (green mud crab), 555 nucleotides long. RefSeq lists it as uncharacterized. The record is from RefSeq and is a predicted model, not a curated record. NCBI's taxonomy places the organism in Eukaryota, Metazoa, Arthropoda, Malacostraca, Decapoda, Portunidae. The transcript is spliced from 4 exons.